UAUAUAUAAUACAUGAGAUGAAACAAUAUAACAGAAACAAAAAAACACUUCCCAUCAUAAAAAAAAUGAUCUAAUGGAAUUGUAUCUAAUCAUAGCAGAGGAUUGCUGUUAUGUUAGUUCUCCCACAGUUGCUGUUAUUACUACAACAACUAAUUGCAUCUCAUCAUCUAAUGGAAGUCUUUCUCAUCCUAAACAGUCCACCUGUGAUUCUCUUCCCCAAUAGGUCCUUCCAGGAACACUGUGGCUGCAAGGUGGAUUACUACUUAGGACUUAUUUUAACGUUAGGUCUUUUGUGAUUAAUAUUUGACAAAUGUUCUUUUGAAGAUUAUUUAGUACAAUAGAAAUUACUCUCUUAGAUUUAUGAUUGUGCAAUUUAAUGUUCUUCUGAAAAUCAAUGUGGGUCCUUGAAAAUCAAAUGUAAUAACUCCGUCGCAAUAAAUUUCUUAGAGUCUUUUGUAUCUCUCUUAGUAGUAGAAGUUAGUUUAAAAUUAA
Molecule: long non-coding RNA, 492 nt
Organism: Amaranthus tricolor (Joseph's coat)
Lineage: Eukaryota; Viridiplantae; Streptophyta; Magnoliopsida; Caryophyllales; Amaranthaceae
Exons: 2
Source: RefSeq, a predicted model, not a curated record